This 935-nucleotide long non-coding RNA is filed under the name Homo sapiens (human). RNAcentral's name for it is "non-protein coding lnc-IL17RA-36:10". Lineage: Eukaryota; Metazoa; Chordata; Mammalia; Primates; Hominidae. The record is from RNAcentral.
GCCCGGCCCCUGCGCGCGUGCGUGUCCUGCUCGCUCCAUGUUGCCGCCUCUCCCGGUACCUGCUGCUGCUCCCGGGGCUUCGGGAAAUGCGAGAGUCUGAGCCGGGGAGGAGGAACCCGAGCAGCGGCGGCGGCGGCCGCGGCGGCGGGAGCCCCCCAAGAGGAGGACCGGGAUCCAUGUGUCUUUCCUGGUGACUAGGAUGUCGUCGGAGGAGAACAAGUGCGUGGAGCAGCCGCAGCCACCACCCCCCGAGGAGCCUGGAGCCCCGGCCCCGAGCCCCCCAGCCGCAGACAAAAGACCUCGGGGCCGGCCUCGCAAGGCGCUUCCCCUUUCCAGAGAGCCAGAAAGAAACUCAGCCCACCUGCACCCAGGUGAAAUAAACAGCUUUAUUGCUCACACGAAGCCUGUUUGGUGGUCUCUUCACACGGAUGCGCAUGAAAUUUGGUGCCGUGACUUGGAUCGGGGGACCUCCCUUAGGAGAUCAAUCCCCCGUCCUCCUGCUCUUUGCUCCGUGAGAAAGAUCCACCUACGACCUCAGGUCCUCAGACCGACCAGCCCAAGAAACAUCUCACCAAUUUCAAAUCUGGCACCCACUGGAAAUCAGACUGCCCAGCUCGCCCGACAGCCACUCCUGGAGCCCCUAAAGCUCUAGCCCAAGGCUCUCUGACUCCUUCCCAGAUCUAUUCGGCUUAGCGACUGAAGAUUGACGCUGCCCGAUCGCCUCGGAAGUCCCCUGGACCAUCACAGAAGCCGAGCUUCGGGUAACUCUCACAGUGGAGGGUAAGUCCAUCCCCUGUUUAAUCGAUACGGGGGCUACCCACUCCACGUUGCCUUCUUUUCAAGGGCCUGUUUCCCUUGCCCCCAUAACUGUUGUGGGUAUUGACGGCCAAGCUUCAAAACCCCUGAAAACUCCCCCACUCUGGUGCCAACUUGGA